UCUGCCUCUAUCUCUUCACUGCUAAGGUCUCUUUCUCUCUUAACCCUACCACUAGAGAAAGAAGAAACAGCACUAUGAGGAGAAGCUUGGCGAAACAAAUCAGCACCAACAUAGUCCUUACAACCUUUCUUGGCAUCAAUAAUCUUCCUGCUGGAACUCCGGUAAAUCUCACCAGAAAGACUCAAGCUAAGCGAAGGCUCAAAACAUGGCUUAUUCACCAUCUUAGGCUUUUGAUUAUUGUUAUUGCCAGGCUUUUCUAGGGCGGUGGUUGCAGAGAAGCCUAACCCUAGAACAAGGCCAGUGUUGCA
This 308-nucleotide unclassified non-coding RNA is filed under the name Hevea brasiliensis (rubber tree). The record is from RNAcentral. Lineage: Eukaryota; Viridiplantae; Streptophyta; Magnoliopsida; Malpighiales; Euphorbiaceae.